CAAACUCCAGAGUUCUGUUAUCGGAGCAUUUUACUAUUACAGCAGCUGUAUCAUAUGGACAUUUAAGCUACUUUAAAGAAAAUUAACAAGUAUUAAUGCAAUAAUAAUUAUUUUUAAAUAAAAGUGUAGCUACUUCUUAAUUUGGAAGAACAGAUUCAAGCAGUUUACGUAACAAAAUCCUUGAAACUCUUUUAGAGAGCCUUGAAAUCCAGGAUGGAUACUCACAUUCAGUCCAGACGAUAAUCACGGCCCAGAACAGCAACACUGUGACACUGCAGAGUCCUGCCAUAAUCACAGAGACACGAGAGGAUCACCACAGAGUCCAGACAAUCCAACAGCGCCCCCCGAGGACCCAAAGAUCACAGCAUGCAGCACUGACUGUCAGGCCUGUCUCCUGCACACAGAGAUUUCUCCACAUUUAAUGAAUCUUUUGUGGAUAUUUUUUCCUGUAGAUGCUGAGAGCUUCUUCCCAGUUUUAUGCUGAGAAAUAUUACUUGGAAACUGGUGCAGCUUUUUGCACAGCGGUGAAACUUUAUCCUUCAUUUGCUGGAGACAUUUUCCAAGUUGGGCCAAUUAUUCAUAAAGUGCUCCUCAAUCUGUUUCGUUUUUACUUUUCCAUCAAUUUGUUGAACCUGUCAGAAGUUUGUUGUUUCUGUCAUCUAAUUCAACAUUUUUCAUUAAAUAUUAAAAUAUCUCCGAUCAGACAUUU
Molecule: long non-coding RNA, 709 nt
Organism: Oreochromis aureus
Lineage: Eukaryota; Metazoa; Chordata; Actinopteri; Cichliformes; Cichlidae
Source: Ensembl